This 1682-nucleotide long non-coding RNA is filed under the name Gallus gallus (chicken). Lineage: Eukaryota; Metazoa; Chordata; Aves; Galliformes; Phasianidae. The record is from RNAcentral.
GGAAAGUCAUGUUUAAUGAUAGCACGCAGGCACAUUGUCAGCUGGGCUCUCACUAAGUCAGGAGAGCGAAUUAUUCCUUCUACAAUGUUAUCACGAAUCUGCUGACGAUCAUUUUCAUGAAUGUUGAAUGGAAAUACUGCUUCCCCAGGAGGUGGUUCACGGUCUGGCCAGUACUGUGUCACCAUGUUCUUCAGGUAGAUGGCAGCUGCUUGGCGCACUGGAAACUCAACCUGAUCUGAUACUAUGAUUUGCAGUAGACUUGGAGCAAAAUUGAUGAUCUUAUAGGACUGAUUGAGCUCGUUCUCGGCUGCGAUGCGCAGUUUGGGGUCGAUGGUGCCCUUCAGCGCCUGGAUGAUCCUGUUGGGGUCCAUCUCGGCCCGCUUGUAGCCCCCCGGCCGGCAGGCCGCGCUCCGCCGGGGGCAGGAGGAGGGAGCGGAGCCGCCGCCGCCGCCCCCCCGCGCCGCGACCGCGAGCUCGUGUCCCCCACCCCCCGGUCCCUCUCCAGAGCCAUUCACCGGUUUGCGACAGCUGGGUAUCGGGAAGCGGGCGCUGCUUUACGGCCGCGGCGCCUCCUUCUGGCUCGGCGCGGAGGCGAGCAGAGGGGGCCGCCAUGCUGUACGGACGGCACACGGCCGUGUGCGGCGGAUGGCGCCCGUGGGGGCGGCCAUGUUGCGGUACGGCCAGCAGCGCGGCCGGCCCGCCGCCGCGUCCCCUCAGCUCGGGCUGCUCCCUGAGGAGCUUCGCGUGGUCCUCAUUCCAGUAUUUCGCUGAGCUACCAAAAGGAGCCGUGGAAAUUCACUCAGUCCGGACUAAAAUCUAACGUCAGUGCCUCAUCUGUCUUGAAUUGUAUAGUUUAGGAAACUGCAGAGGGUAAGCAGAUGGAAUUUAGGUGGUAUCAGAUUUGCCUAGGAAUGACAGGAAUAGGAAGUUAGCGGAAGAACCACCACCUCCAUUCGUAUGAGGUGUCAUAUGUAUAAUGAGACCUUAUUAUCCUCAUGUACUUAAGGCACGUUACUUUGUGCAGCUAUGCAAGCAACUCUCUGAGUGACUACAGAAAAUGUGGUCUCACACAGCUUUUACAUGAAGCCCAUACCACACCCAGUGAAAGUAUAUGGCUCCUAUUUAUUCUCUUGGCCCACGGCCUCAGAGCCAGACAUUGGUGGUAUGGCAGAAGAGGCUGAACGUUCCCACCCCUAUUCUAUUACAUGUUGUUGCAGUGUGACAGCUGGCAGGCUGACAACAUGGUGCCUGACAUGGAAGAGCAUAUGAAGCAAAGGGAUGUUCACUGAAUUCCUUCAUUGGGGGAAAAAAACAGCAGCACCCACCGAAUGUUUGUGGAGACCCGGCAGUGGAUGUGAGCUCAGUGAGCAGUGUGUUUCACCAAUGGCAACAGCAACAUGGAAGACGAGCUACAUUCCAGAUGGCCUUGCACAGCUGUCACACCACAAAAUGAGAGCUGAUUUAGACACUCAGCUCAGCUAAUGGUGGUGAUUAUGCUGAAAUACUUUGUUUUGCAGUUGAGAAUUUGCUCUAUCAAAGAGCAUUAUUGUGCUCUUUGUAUUGGUUGUCACUUCUGUGGUGAAUAUCUUCAGCAGAGACACACUCAGGUAAAAUAAAGUCAUGUCAGUUUGUAAAUAAUGUACUGAAGUCUUCUGAAGUACUGAGAAGUUUUAAAACCAAGC